UACGGAGGGUGCAAGCGUUAUCCGGAUUUACUGGGUUUAAAGGGUGUGUAGGCGGGCUAUUAAGUCAGAGGUGAAAUCCAGGGGCUCAACCCCUGAACUGCCCCUGAUACUAUUAGUCUUGAAUACUGAUGAGGUGGGCGGAACGGGUCAUGUAGCGGUGAAAUGCUUAGAGAUGACCCGGAACACCGAUUGCGAAGGCAGCUCACUGGGCAGUUAUUGACGCUGAGGCACGAAAGCGUGGGGAUCAAACAGG
This 253-nucleotide ribosomal RNA is filed under the name uncultured bacterium. RNAcentral's name for it is "partial 16S ribosomal RNA". It matches the Rfam family "Bacterial small subunit ribosomal RNA", at positions 524 to 776 of the family's 1533-position model. The record is from RNAcentral.